GACGAACGCUGGCGGCGUGCUUAACACAUGCAAGUCGAACGGAAAGGCCCUGCUUGCAGGGUGCUCGAGUGGCGAACGGGUGAGUAACACGUUGGUGAUCUGCCCCUUACUUUGGGAUAAGUCUUGGUAACUGGGUCUAAUACUGGAUAGGACCAUGCUGUCGGUGGUGUGGUGGGUAGUUUAGUUUCGGUAAGGGAUGAGCUCGCGGCCUAUCAGCUUGUUGGUGGGGUAGUGGCCUACCAAGGCGUCGACGGGUAGCCGGCCUGAGAGGGUGGACGGCAACAUUGGGACUGAGAUACGGCGCAGACGCCUACGGGAGGCAGCAGGGGGGAAGAUGGGAAAAUGGGAGCAAGCCGGAUGCAGCGACGCAGCGUGGGGGAUGACGGCCUGCGGGUUGUAAACUCCUAUAAGCCAUGACGAAGCGCUUGUGGUGACGGUAGUGGUAGAAGAAGCACCGGCUAACUACGUG
Molecule: ribosomal RNA, 469 nt
Filed under: uncultured bacterium
Lineage: Bacteria
Description: partial 16S ribosomal RNA
Rfam family: Bacterial small subunit ribosomal RNA
Source: RNAcentral